GUAACUGAAGCUGACCACAGAUCGCUGGCCAUCAGGAGGAGUGAGAGGGCGGCCGACUCUUCUAGAGAAGAGGGAUGAGUGUAGAGGUGAGCUACAGCGCUUGGUGACUGAAGAACGCAUUGGGGACUUGUGGCGGUCCUUCCAGCAGCCGUCUGGCUCGUUAGCUGGGAGAGGAGCUCGACAGGACUGUCCUCAACUGGAAUCCUUUGAGCAAUCCCUUCGUCGCUCUCCCUGGCCUGAUCUGGGGCAGAUCUCACCUCCACAUAAAGAUGAAGAACUUUUCCAGACUGGGACAUGACCUCCCCUCAGCUCUUAAUGAGGACACAGAAACGGAGCGGAGAAAGACUCAGACAGGGUGAAAGAGAGGUCUUUCCCCCCCUCCCUGUUGGGUUGGAAUUAGGUUUUUCUGCCGCUGGUGGUUUAUUUUUAGACGGUCUUUCUUCUGCCUCCCAGAUCGUCUGCGUGUAAAGCAGAGACACAGAGCAAAAACAUGCCCAGGGGAUGCCGCCAACAGCUCCCAACUCCUCAUACCUGUGAAUGAAAGAGGAGACGGAAUUAAUAUGCCAAAUGAGUGUGAAAAGCUGGUAAAGGACAAGUGAAAACACUCACUUUUCUAAAAGAAGCCAAGUGUGGGAGUUUUGUCCAAAUGAGACGCAAAUAUUUCCAGCAUGCUACUCUCAACAAUGUUAAACAAAACUCAGAUAAAAGUCAUUCAGGUCCUCUCAGAUUGUCCAUAAAGUGAUCAUGUUUUAUAAAUCAGAGUGUUUUUUAUUUUCAAAUCUCCAAAAAAAGUUAACAUUUUUUGAUAAUUUUAUUAUCUUGGAGUUUUUUGACAAUAGUGAGAGCUUCAUUUGAGAGAAAUGAACCAAUCAUGAGACAUGGAGAUGCCAAAGAAACUAAACUAAACUAAAAAUAAAACAAAAACUUUAACAAGUUUUGGAACGGAUACCAGAUAGGAGGCUGAUGUUAAGCCACCUCAACUUUAUUGAAAAUGUGUGUGUCAACCAGUUUGGCUGUCCUCUACCAAUUCUGAUAAGUUUCCACACAGAAGCUUGUCGAUGGAUUCAAAAAAUAUUUAAUUUCCCUGCAACUUCCUGAGUUUAACAAAAUAUUAUAGGUGGUGUAUUUUAGCUUGAAGGUUCAGUUCUGAACAUAUGUGGAUCUCGGUAUUUCUGACCAGCAUCAUAAUAAAGUAUUUAAUUCUUUGCUGAGCUCA
Xiphophorus hellerii (green swordtail) is the source of this 1216-nucleotide long non-coding RNA. RefSeq lists it as uncharacterized. The record is from RefSeq and is a predicted model, not a curated record. The transcript has 2 exons. Lineage: Eukaryota; Metazoa; Chordata; Actinopteri; Cyprinodontiformes; Poeciliidae.